GUUUGUGUUUUGUUGGAGAAUUGGUGCUGGUAUGCUGAUAGAUUUGAAGCUUGAGAACGGAGAGGGCUUUGAUGGGUAGCCUAACAUAGUCAACGAGGGAGAGCUGUUUUGGGUCAAGAGAAGACAUCAGAGUGAGUGAAGCAAAAGGUCAGUCAAUUUAUGUGAAAGAUAUUUUUAUGUUCGGAAACUAAAAUUUUGAGUAAAAGCAUAUGAAUUAAGAUUCCAAUAUUUCAAAAAGUAAAUAGGAAGUAUAGGUAGAUUUGCGAAUACCUAAAUUUGUUUGUUUAGCUUGUUUUAUCAAAGUCAUCGGGAACAAACCGAUAAAUUGUUAUUUUAACUAGAAUAAAUUUAAGUGGUAAAAAUUUCAUUCGGACAGCUGUGUCCACAGGUUUUAAAUUUGAUCGAUUUUUAGAGUAUUGAUUUUGAUAAUAAAAUUCUGUAUGCUUAUUUUA
Diabrotica virgifera virgifera (western corn rootworm) is the source of this 452-nucleotide long non-coding RNA. RefSeq lists it as uncharacterized. NCBI's taxonomy places the organism in Eukaryota, Metazoa, Arthropoda, Insecta, Coleoptera, Chrysomelidae. The record is from RefSeq and is a predicted model, not a curated record. The transcript is spliced from 2 exons.